Molecule: ribosomal RNA, 775 nt
Filed under: uncultured Neocallimastigales
Lineage: Eukaryota; Fungi; Neocallimastigomycota; Neocallimastigomycetes; Neocallimastigales
Description: partial large subunit ribosomal RNA
Rfam family: Eukaryotic large subunit ribosomal RNA
Source: RNAcentral
AGAGAUGUGUGAUGACGCAUAUCAAUAAGCGGAGGAAAAGAAACUAACAAGGAUUCCCUUAGUAACGGCGAGUGAAGCGGGAAGAGCUCAAAUUUGAAAUCUUCAAGGUUCUACCUUGACGAAUUGUAGUUUAUAGAAGUGUUUUCUGUUAGUGGAGUGGCAAAAGUUCUUUGGAAUAGGACAUCAUAGAGGGUGAGAAUCCCGUAUUUGGUCAUUCCUCCUAGCGUUGUGAUACACUUUCAACGAGUCGGAUUGUUUGGGAAUGCAGUCCAAAAUGGGUGGUAAAUUUCAUCUAAAGCUAAAUAUUGGCGAGAGACCGAUAGCGAACAAGUACCGUGAGGGAAAGAUGAAAAGAACUUUGAAAAGAGAGUUAAACAGUACGUGAAAUUGUCAAAAGGGAAGCGUUUGACACCAGUGUUGUUUUUCCGAAAAUCAAUUACGAAUGUUUUGUUUUUGAGAAGUUAUGACUUCAUCGGCUUGCUUCUCUCUUUACGAAACUUUCUUAAUGCACUUUUCGGUUAACAAGUCAACAUCAAUUUCUUUUGUUGUAAAAGGGUAUGAGGAAGGUGGCUUUCUUUUCGGAGAAAGUGUUUAUAGCCUUGUACCUCUGCAAUCGGAGAGAUUGAGGUCUGCAGCGUAGAUCCUUCGGGGUUAGAUACAUUUGUGCUAAGUUAUAGCUUUUCAUAGACAACUUGUUGACUUAUGUUAAGUCUUGUAGCUUACUCGCUUAUGCUAUUUUACCUACGCUUAGGAUGUUGAAGAUGUAGCACAUCAU